This 491-nucleotide ribosomal RNA is filed under the name uncultured bacterium. RNAcentral's name for it is "partial 16S ribosomal RNA". It matches the Rfam family "Bacterial small subunit ribosomal RNA", at positions 28 to 507 of the family's 1533-position model. The record is from RNAcentral.
GAUGAACGCUAGCUACAGGCUUAACACAUGCAAGUCGAGGGGAAACGAUGAGAGAGCUUGCUCUCUUAGUCGUCGACCGGCGCACGGGUGAGUAACGCGUAUCCAACCUGCCUCUGACCAAGGGAUAACCCGUCGAAAGUCGGACUAAUACCUUAUGCAGUCGUCGGAAGUCAUCUGAUGACGACGAAAGAUUUCAUCGGUGAGAGAUGGGGAUGCGUCUGAUUAGCUUGUUGGCGGGGUAACGGCCCACCAAGGCGACGAUCAGUAGGGGUUCUGAGAGGAAGGUCCCCCACAUUGGAACUGAGACACGGUCCAAACUCCUACGGGAGGCAGCAGUGAGGAAUAUUGGUCAAUGGGCGUAAGCCUGACCCAGCCAAGUAGCGUGCAGGAGGACGGCCCUAUGGGUUGUAAACUGCUUUUAUGCGGGGAUAAAGUGAGGGACGUGUCCUUCAUUGAAGGUACCGAAUGAAUAAGGACCGGCUAAUUCCGUG